UAGGGAAUCUUCGGCAAUGGACGAAAGUCUGACCGAGCAACGCCGCGUGAGUGAAGAAGGUUUUCGGAUCGUAAAACUCUGUUGUUAGAGAAGAACAAGGACGUUAGUAACUGAACGUCCCCUGACGGUAUCUAACCAGAAAGCCACGGCUAACUACGUGCCAGCAGCCGCGGUAAUACGUAGGUGGCAAGCGUUGUCCGGAUUUAUUGGGCGUAAAGCGAGCGCAGGCGGUUUCUUAAGUCUGAUGUGAAAGCCCCCAGCUCAACCGGGGAGGGUCAUUGGAAACUGGGAGACUUGAGUGCAGAAGAGGGGAGUGGAAUUCCAUGUGUGGCGAUGAAAUGCGUAGAUAUAUGGAGGAACACCAGUGGCGAAGGCGGCUCUCUGGUCUGUAACUGACGCUGAAGCUCGAAAGCGUGGGGAGCAAACAGG
This 429-nucleotide ribosomal RNA is filed under the name Chloroflexota bacterium. RNAcentral's name for it is "Chloroflexi bacterium partial 16S ribosomal RNA". It matches the Rfam family "Bacterial small subunit ribosomal RNA", at positions 355 to 776 of the family's 1533-position model. Lineage: Bacteria; Bacillati; Chloroflexota. The record is from RNAcentral.